CAAUAGCGUAUAUUAAAGUUGUUGCGGUUAAAAAAGCUCGUAGUUGGAGUUCUGCCAGGUGCCGCCUGUCCGCCCCAGUGGUGAGUACGUGGCGCGCAUUUGGCCCUUUCAAGGGGAGCGUAUCUGCACUUUAUUGUGUGGUGCGGGAUCCUUGACUUUUACUUUGAGGAAAUAGGAGUGUUCCAAGCAGGCUCUCGUCGUGCACAGCUCAGCAUGGAAUAAUAGCAUUGGACCUCGAUUCUAAGCUGUUGGUUGCCAGAAGCGAGGUAAUGAUGAAGAGGGAUAGUUGGGGGCAUUCGUAUUUAACUGUCAGAGGUGAAAUUCUUGGAUUUUGUUAAGAACGGACUACGUAGUCGUAAGCCAAAGUCCUAGUUCCGACCUAGGGGAAUUGGUUUUUUUCCAUUUUAAGUACUACGAAACGGAAAACGGUUAAAAGGGGUUAAGGGGUACGUACGGAAACGGAACGUACUACGAAGUAACCUAACCUACUUCGUAGGAACGUACGU
RNAcentral lists this ribosomal RNA (506 nucleotides) under uncultured eukaryote. RNAcentral's name for it is "bacterial SSU rRNA". It matches the Rfam family "Eukaryotic small subunit ribosomal RNA", at positions 592 to 1080 of the family's 1831-position model. The record is from RNAcentral.